Molecule: ribosomal RNA, 460 nt
Filed under: uncultured bacterium
Lineage: Bacteria
Description: partial 16S ribosomal RNA
Rfam family: Bacterial small subunit ribosomal RNA
Source: RNAcentral
CCUACGGGAGGCAGCAGUGAGGAAUAUUGGUCAAUGGACGAGAGUCUGAACCAGCCAAGUAGCGUGAAGGAUGACUGCCCUAUGGGUUGUAAACUUCUUUUAUAUGGGAAUAAAAUGUUUCACGUGUGGGAUUUUGUAUGUACCAUAUGAAUAAGGAUCGGCUAACUCCGUGCCAGCAGCCGCGGUAAUACGGAGGAUCCGAGCGUUAUCCGGAUUUAUUGGGUUUAAAGGGAGCGUAGGUGGAUUGUUAAGUCAGUUGUGAAAGUUUGCGGCUCAACCGUAAAAUUGCAGUUGAAACUGGCAGUCUUGAGUACAGUAGAGGUGGGCGGAAUUCGUGGUGUAGCGGUGAAAUGCUUAGAUAUCACGAAGAACUCCGAUUGCGAAGGCAGUUCACUGGACUGCAACUGACACUGAGGCUCGAAAGUGUGGGUAUCAAACAGGAUUAGAUACCCGAGUAGUC